ACACUCCUGCGGGAGGCAGCAGUGGGGAAUAUUGGACAAUGGGCGCAAGCCUGAUCCAGCCAUGCCGCGUGAGUGAUGAAGGCCCUAGGGUUGUAAAGCUCUUUCACCGGUGAAGAUAAUGACGGUAACCGGAGAAGAAGCCCCGGCUAACUUCGUGCCAGCAGCCGCGGUAAUACGAAGGGGGCUAGCGUUGUUCGGAUUUACUGGGCGUAAAGCGCACGUAGGCGGACUAUUAAGUCAGGGGUGAAAUCCCGGGGCUCAACCCCGGAACUGCCUUUGAUACUGGUAGUCUUGAGUUCGAGAGAGGUGAGUGGAAUUCCGAGUGUAGAGGUGAAAUUCGUAGAUAUUCGGAGGAACACCAGUGGCGAAGGCGGCUCACUGGCUCGAUACUGACGCUGAGGUGCGAAAGCGUGGGGAGCAAACAGGAUGAGAAACCCGAGUAGUCCCA
Molecule: ribosomal RNA, 448 nt
Filed under: uncultured organism
Description: partial 16S ribosomal RNA
Rfam family: Bacterial small subunit ribosomal RNA
Source: RNAcentral